RNAcentral lists this long non-coding RNA (3083 nucleotides) under Bemisia tabaci. RNAcentral's name for it is "lncRNA ENSASIAIIG012480". The record is from RNAcentral. Lineage: Eukaryota; Metazoa; Arthropoda; Insecta; Hemiptera; Aleyrodidae.
AUAGGCCAGUCUACACCAGGAGGAAUUGAGCUCAAAAGUAUUGAUUAAGGGGUAAAAGUAGACGAGAAAUUCAUUGGAAUACUUGGUUUUGUCCGAAACAAACUCCUUUUGGUGAAAAACAGCAUUAAAGUUCGCGAAUUUUCGAGUUUCGCGCCCGCGGUUGUGACGUCAUAAUGCAGAAAUUCGCGCGCGCCCUCCCUGGAGGGGUUUUCUUUUAUUGACCGGCGGUACCACCGACCACCAAACUGCGUUUUUUAACUCACCGGUCGGUGCUGACGUCACGACCGGAGGAGCCACCGCCGGUGGAUUUGGUACCACCAAUCUACCGCUCGAACAACCGGAGAUUUCUCCGGUACUUUCAAUCCACCGGUCCGUCGGUGGACAAUCUAACCUAUUUUUAGUCUCUUCGAAGGCCUAAAUCAAAGGAGAAAACGUGGGUUUUUGUUCGAUCUUCCGCGCCUGCCGCCGCUAAGUCUAAUAAUACUGUCGCCUGUGUAGUGAAUAAAGUUAUUAGUGUCACUUUUCCUCUCAUAUUUUUAAUAAUGGCACUAGCAGAAACAGAGUUAAUGCUGGUCCCUGUCAUGGAAGGGGAUAAAAUAAAGAAGGUGGUAAACUCCUGUGGUGGCUGGAACCUGCUGUUUAUGGAUUCACUUGAUAAUGGUAAAAUGCAUUACAUACCCGUGGAGGAGGCCUUGAAAUGCAGUGAGAUCCAUGAAAUCAUCCCUAGUGAAUUUCUUGACAUACCAGAGGAAAUUUCAGAAGCAGAUGAUCCCUCAAGUUCUGUGGAGGUACAAUCGGGAGAAUGUUCGAAACCAGAGAAGAAAGAGAAGUUUUGGAGCCGUAAAAAAGUUCUCUUCCUAUUAGAGGCACGAAUCUCCCAGGAAGCAGAAUUUGCCAAAGCCACUGUAGGUGGUAAAGGGAAGAUUUGGGGAAGAAUUGCAGAAGCAGCGUCCCAAGAGUUUGGUGUUCCAGUGCUUCCAAAAAAGUGCGAAGAAAAAUUCCGCAAUCUGUGGAAAACCUACAGAGAUAACAAAGACAGAGCUUCAAAGACUGGUGAGGCCAAUAUUGCAUGGGAAUUUUUCAAUAUAUUCGACACAGUCUACGGGGCAAAGGAGAAUGUUUCGCCCAAUGCGGAUCAUUUAGGAACGACACCCAAGCCUCCCUCUUACAAACAGACUGGCCCCUCCAAGAAAAUCCCCACAUUGACACCACGUCAGUCUUACUUGCUCAAUGCCACUACCCCGUCCUUGUCCUCAAUGACCUCUUCUAAGACUUCUCCCCCUGUCACUAAGCCCGCCCCACCCACCAUCGCCUCUCCCACUCAUCCUGCUUUUGCAUCAACCCCUAAUAAAAACUUCUCCAACCUGCCGCUUGUCAGGUUCACAGGUGACCGCAUCUUGGUCCAUCCCAGAGAAGCGAAGUAGAACAUCAUCAGAAAGUACAUCGACUCCUCCAAAUUUGUAUCCUCUCACCCCAUCUCAAACAUCCACAUCUAUCGCUGGUGCAACCACUGCCCUUUUUAGUUCAUAUCGGCGACCCUCAACUUCUUCUUCCACCCAUUCAACCACUUCUACACAAAGCAGUGCAUCAUUUCUUGAUGAAGAGGAUGCAGACGCUCCGGACACUCCCCCUCCUGCUGAUCAGGGAAAUGAGGAUGAAGAAGUUCUAGAUAGGAUUUAUCUUAGUGAUAAGGGACCGACAAAACUGCUGAAGAAAACAGCAAAGAAACCGUUGAGCAAGCAAAACUUGCUUGAAAAGUAUGUUGCCAGCAGAGAAGAAGAGAAGGCUCUGAAAGCAGCAGAGAAAGAGGAAAAAAGACGCUAUCGAGAGCAGUUAUUGUUGGUAGAGCAAAAGAGGAACGAACUGUUGGCAGAAUACAUUGCAUUGAAAAAGAAAGAGAUGAAAGAUCCCCAAGAUUUAGCAUAAGCAAUGUCACUGACCUAGCUGUUUGGUGAAAGGCUUUGGAUUUCGAUGGUGAAAUUCUACAAUACUUGACUGCUUCCUCUUCAGUUUUACGAGAUGAACUAUUAAAUGUGCAAGUAAUGCCUUUUCAUGUAGGUUUAAGAUUUAGUCAAGAUUUUAUGUUUCCUGUUUAAGUUUAUGCGAUCUCGUCUUUUUUGGUUGAAGGAGUUGUCAAGUUUAUGUUUUGUUGCAUAAUUUAAUCGGCCUACUACUUACUGUAAAUUUAUGUUUGAUGAAAGGCUUUGGAUUUCGAUGGUGAAAUUCUACAAUACGUAGACUGACUCCUCUUUAGUUUUACGAAAUGAACUAUUAAAUGUGCAAGUAAUGCCUUUUUCAUGUAGGUUUAAGAUUUAGUCAAGUUUUUAUGUUUCCUGUUUUAAGUUUAUGCGAUCUCGUCUUUUUUGGUUGAAGGAGUUGUCAAGUUUAUGUUUUGCUGCAUAAUUUAAUCGGCCUACUACUAAUUGUAAAUUUAUGUUUGAUGAAAGGCUUUGGAUUUCGAUGGUGAAAUUCUACAAUACGUAGACCGAUUCCUCUUCAGUUUUACGAGAUGAACUAUUAAAUGUGCAAGUAAUGCCUUUUUCAUGUAGGUUUAAGAUUUAGUCAAGUUUUUAUGUUUCCUGUUUUAAGUUUAUGCGAUCUCGUCUUUUUUGGUUGAAGGAGUUGUCAAGUUUAUGUUUUGUUGCAUAAUUUAAUCGGCCUACUACUUAUUGUAAAUUUAUGUUUGAUGAAAGGCUUUGGAUUUCGAUGGUGAAAUUCUACAAUACGUAGACCGAUUCCUCUUUAGUUUAACGAGAAUAACUAAUAAAUGUGCAAGUAAUGCCUUUUUCAUGUAGGUUUAAUUCAGUCAAGUUUUUAUGUUUCCUGUUUUAAGUAUAUGUGAUCUCGUCUAUUUUGGUUGAAGGAGUUGUCAAGUUUAUAUUUUAGAAAAAGUUUAUGUUUAUGUUGUUAAGUUGAUUACAUUAUCUGCACACCAGGUGCUCUUCAGAUUAGUAAAAAAGUUGCCUUUCAGUGCCAUUUUUCACUUCACAUAUAAUAAUCCUAUUUAGUUUCAGUAGAAUUAGUGUCAAGUAUUAAUUUGUAUUAUCUUUAUAUCAACAAUUACAUCAUUUUUCACUAUAAUA